This 69-nucleotide small nucleolar RNA is filed under the name Carlito syrichta (Philippine tarsier). RNAcentral's name for it is "Small nucleolar RNA SNORD104 (ENSTSYG00000023932.2)". It matches the Rfam family "Small nucleolar RNA SNORD104". Rfam says of the family: The members of this family belong to the C/D class of snoRNAs which contain the C (UGAUGA) and D (CUGA) box motifs. Most of the members of the box C/D family function in directing site-specific 2'-O-methylation of substrate RNAs. U104 (SNORD104) also known as Z12 is predicted to guide the 2'O-ribose methylation of C1327 of 28S rRNA. The record is from Rfam by way of RNAcentral. Lineage: Eukaryota; Metazoa; Chordata; Mammalia; Primates; Tarsiidae.
GCAAUGAUGACUCUUGAUGACUGCAUGUGUUAGAGUGCUGAUAUGUGUAAUGCCAACUGGAGUCUGAGU